This 213-nucleotide unclassified non-coding RNA is filed under the name soil metagenome. RNAcentral's name for it is "partial contains 5.8S ribosomal RNA, internal transcribed spacer 2, and large subunit ribosomal RNA". The record is from RNAcentral.
AACAAGGCGUACCUGCGGACCUGCGGAAGGAUCAUUACCGAGUUUACAACUCCCAAACCCAUGUGAACAUACCUAUCGUUGCUUCGGCGGAUCGCCCCGGGCGCCUUGCGUGCCCCGGAUCCAGGCGGCCGCCGGGGGACCUUAACUCUUGUUUUUACUGAGAAUCUUCUGAGUCGUUUUUACAAAUAAAUAAAAACUUUCAGCAACGGAUCU